GACAGAGGAGGCGAGCGUUAUCCGGAGUCAUUGGGCGUAAAGGGUACGUAGGCGGCUAGUCAAGUCUGAGGUUAAAGACCACAGCUUAACUGUGGGAAGGCCUUGGAAACUGACUGGCUAGAGUGGGGCAGGGGCUGCGGGAAUUCCCGGUGUAGCGGUGAAAUGCGUAGAUAUCGGGAAGAACACCUGAGGCGAAAGCGCGCAACUGGGCCCUGACUGACGCUGAGGUACGAAAGCUCGGGGAGCGAAUGGG
RNAcentral lists this ribosomal RNA (253 nucleotides) under uncultured bacterium. RNAcentral's name for it is "partial 16S ribosomal RNA". It matches the Rfam family "Bacterial small subunit ribosomal RNA", at positions 524 to 776 of the family's 1533-position model. The record is from RNAcentral.